GUGCUGGAGGCACUGGGAGCAUCUGUUGCAGGCCUUUCUCUGGGUGCCUGGUGUCACUGGUCAUCCUUGGCACUUCUUUGCUGGCCAAGGAUGCAUCACUGUGACCCUCGUCUUUACAGGGCUUCACGCUGUGUCUGUCCACGCGCGGAUGUCGUCUUGUAAGGACACCAGCCACACCGAUGAGAGGCCAUCUUCCUCCACUUUGACCUCAUCUUAACUAAUUACAUCUGCAACUGUCCUAUUUCCAAAUAAGGUCACGUUCUAGGGUAGCGGAGAGUAGGACUUCAACACAGCUUUUUUUGAGGGAAGACGCAAUUCAACCCACAGCUCCCCCAAAUGCGUUAUUCACUCUGUUCUGUGCCCUGUGGCAUGACCCUGUGGCCUGCCCUCUUUGCUGUGCUCUGGUGCUUUAGCCUCGGUUAGAAUUCCUGCAGGAGUUUCCCAGGAGACCAGAAGACGCAGACAAAAGUUGAAGAACCCUGAGGCACUGCUCUAGCCACGGUGUAAAAGCAUUGAGCCAGCUCAUAUGGAAGACCCAGUCAAGUCACCAGUAUCUGCAUUUGUGCUUGUUAACGUUCGUGGCUCAGGAGGCCUACCUUCUGAUUAAGUGUUCUCAUGUAAAAUCAUCCAAAUACUCCCUAUUAAUUUUAUUUUGAUAUAUGGAUGAAUAAUAAAAGAUUA
This 681-nucleotide long non-coding RNA is filed under the name Homo sapiens (human). RNAcentral describes it as "HSALNT0309613". The record is from RNAcentral. Lineage: Eukaryota; Metazoa; Chordata; Mammalia; Primates; Hominidae.